Long non-coding RNA from Passer domesticus (house sparrow), 6077 nucleotides. RefSeq lists it as uncharacterized. The transcript has 2 exons. NCBI's taxonomy places the organism in Eukaryota, Metazoa, Chordata, Aves, Passeriformes, Passeridae. The record is from RefSeq and is a predicted model, not a curated record.
GUCCUGAGCCUGUACAGCUUUUUGUGUAUCCUAACUAGUUUUGUUUAAACAUGAAAAAAAAAAAAAUCCAGACUGGAAAAGCUUUGAGGUUUUUGGAAAAUAAAUUGUAACAGAAAAGGAAGGGUUAAGCAGAGAUGCCAACCAGGGAUGUAUUACAGGGAAAAGUAAAAUUAAUUCAGUAAGGUGCUGCCUUUAUUCUAUCAUGGGUUUCAUCUUACAGCUGUUGUCUUUUCACUCCCUCAUUUUUUCAAAAGCUCAGAUUUCCAUGUGAGAGCCCAGGGAGGGCAUCUAAGCAAUUAAUUUCACAUGGUAAAAGCACCUUCCUCUCAAGGUUGUAAAAGCAGAAAUUAGACAUAACACCCUUCUAAGGCAUCUUUCUAAGGCUGGAAAGAAGCAGGUGUUUAGUGUUACAUUAAUUUUAAACCCAUAAUUAGUGUAACUUGAGUCCUGGACCUCAUCCAGUUUAAUUCAUUGUAUUCCUGCAAACGAGACUCCCCUGCUGAUUUUAUGUGAAUGCAGCAGGCCGGGUCUUCAGCUACCCAAGCCUUUCCUUAGGAUGUUUGGGGUGCAGGAAAUGAGGUGUCAGGGAGGUGCCAUAUGGGUUUCUACAUGGCCUCUGCAACAGAGGUGUGGUUGACACAGGCUGUGCUCCAGCUGCUCGCUGGCCAUGAAAAGGAUAUUGGUGGCCCACAGGUGAUGGGUAUAAGAGAGUUGCCUUCAGCUCCUCUUACUGCCCUACAAGACAUAAGAUCAUCAGAAGCUGUUUAAUGAGGUUUUUACUGCAUGCCUUCUUUGUUCUCAACCCAGUGGAUCCCCUUUGGAGUGCUUAUGUUUGAUGGAGGAUUUUUCAUUUCCCACUCUAUCUUGCACAGCUGAGCUGGUGGGGUUGCUCCUGCUGGAAUGGGAGCUAUAGCUGCUGGCAGGGAGGAGGCAUUGCAGCACCUUUUAUUUUCUCUAGUUUGGAGAAAUAAAACACCAGGAUGAGCACUAAAGAAAGCAAGUUGGACUGCUGUAACAAAUGGCAUAAGGGAUUGCUUUUGUUUGCCUUCUUGGAAGCAAAUUGAUAUCACUGGGAAGUACUUCAUGUUGGAAGGUACAAAGCACACUGGCUCAGCCUGGGGUGAGGUGAGGAAGAGGAUGCAAUCAAGCCAUACCUUGACUAGCUGUUGAUAACCACAGAGCUUUUUGAAGUAACUGUUAUUACUUAUGUGUGUGUUUCCUCUGUGGAAAGCUCCGAGCAAUUCCAAGGGGUACUCUUGAGGAGUGGUACCCACCCAGGCACUGGCUGUGGUGUUGUGGCUCUGGCACUGCAGUACAAGAUCACAGCCUAGUUGUGAAGCCAGUCAGUGUGGGUCAAACCUGUCUCUGGUUUUGCUUAGUUGAACCUAAAUAUGAGCUACCUGAUUUAACCCUUGCUUUGUACAGCUGCUUCUUAGCAGAAAAUAUCUGGGACAGGAGCAGAACUAGGGGAGAAUGAGAGGACAAGUGGGAAGGAAAGAAUUUGUGUGUUUCAGGCAGGAUUUUAAUUUAUCUGAGCACUCAAUUGACCAGAAAGAGACAGAAAUGCCAUUGUGCCAAAACCUCUUGGGAGCUCGCCCUCCUUCCGGGAGAAAGCUGUAAGGUCAAAGUGAGGGGAAAUGGAGGCCUGGAGGAGAGUUUCGGAGGGAGAUCGAGGUGCUGGAAUCUGCAGGGUCAUCUGCAGUCAGACACAGCAUAGAAAGUGUGAAGUGCCAUGACUUACCGGCUAUUUACUGAGCUUGGUAGGAUAUGUGCUAGCCCUGUGUGAGCAAUUAGUGCUGAUUAGCAGUUCCCUCUGCUGGCUGAGCUAACGAAGUUAUCCCUUCGGCUCUGCAGGAGUGCUUCUGCUGCUGCUGCAAGGGUGCAUUAGCUUGAGCUGCGUGCUAUCGCCACUCGUGAAUUAGCGACAUAAGGCUGUAGGUACCACAGGGCAACUACGCAACAAAUACAACCGUGGUUCGCUCUUUCACUCUGCUGCCACCGAAGUCUUCUCUGACAUGGCCUGUGAAUGAGAGGCCUCUGCUUCUCUUUAGAUUUUUGUUGUUAAUUUGCCAGGUGCUUUUAGACACAUCUGCUCGCUUCUGCUCUCUGUGGAGGGGGGUAAAUGUUAACUCACCUCUCGCGAACUGCUUUACAAAUGAACAUAAAGAAGGCUAUGAAACUCUUAAGUAGCUGUUUUCACUUCCAGGGUACCUGGCCCAAGCCCAGUGUCUUAGGCAGCCAAAGGCUUUCCACGAGGAGAUUCCUGUGGGUUUCUGUGAAGAACCCACCUCCCCUUGCCACCAGCCCCCACCAUCCAGUCAAGAGACAUCCAAAGGCAAAACCACUGCCUUGUUCCCCCUGCCAGAGAAAUCCUGCUUCACUCCUGCCCCGGCUGAAAGCUGAAAUAUGUGCUUCUUGUGCCGUGGCUCGAACUCCUCAGGAAAACUUCAGUUACAUCCAAAUUAAUAACUGAACGCAAGCAUCCCAGCCUAAGACCAGGCUUACUGUGGGAACGACUGGAUGCUGGCAGCGAGACUGGCUGCCGCGGGAGGUGAGGACGGCCAAGUUAAACAACCGCCGUCUGGUCCCAUGUCCUCCUCCUCCUCCUCCUUGUGAGCAGCAACCCUUCCACUGCUCACCAUGAGGCCGGGAUUGGGGUAUCCUGGUCAUUGGCCCUGCUAGCCAAGAGGUGAGGCAGCGCUUUCCACACCUGGCUGCGCCAGGACUUCAGGAUCUAAGGUGCCCCAGAGACACGGGAUACUCAAUGCACCUGGCUGCGUGUGCUAUAAAGCACUUUCGCUUUCUUGCUCGAAUUUGCAUACAAAAAGACCCAUUAGGCCCCAUCAAAGGAUAUUUAGAUUGCUGGUGCUAAAUUAGCAGAAGCAGGCAGUUUAGUUCUGAGUAGAAAUUGUUUCCUACUUAAAAGUGAAGCGGUGUCAUAGGAAGGUUUCCCUCACCUGUUAAUAACAGUUGUACUGCUUUGCUUGCUGCGUCUUCACCACAAUGUUAAAAGUGAAUUUCUGUAAUGACAGGAGAUUGAGUUUCAGGAAAGGUAAAAUUUCAUGGAGUUUUUCUUUUUCAGUGUUAAGUAUUUUUACAUAAGGUGUUGAGCAUUAUUUAUAAAUGCCUUGUUUCACCAUUACCAAGUGAAAUAAAUUUGGUUUAUGCUACGAAUAAUAUUAACCAACCGAACAAUAAUGGCAACAAAGUUUCAAAUACAAUCACUUCUCUACAAAUCCUUGUCCCCUUUGUGGUUCAAGAUACUGGCUCCAAUGAGGUAAAGACUAGGUCACAGGUAAUUAUUUUCAACUAACUCCUGAUUCACCGAAGCUCAGUCGAGGUUCAAGUCACCCCUUGUUUCAUAUGUUGGGGUGUCUGAACCACGAAUGUGUAAGCCUCCUGGUUUAAAUGGGCUAGGAGGCUUCAUUGCAGGUGAGAAAAGCACCCAAAUGGAGCAGACACAGGUACAAAUAUAUUCUUGACAUGCAUUUCCUCUGGCAUGUACCUGUGCUUUUCGUGCCUUAGUCACAGGGGAAAUUCAGAAGUCCUGGUGUGAAAACUCAGAAGUAUUGGUAUGCAAAUAGAGAAGUGUGACUUAGUAGUCUCACUGCUCCCACUGUUUCACAUGAAAAGUGCCAGUAUUGACAACACAAAUGUGGCAUGCUCUGUAUGCCCUAUCAAGGCAUUUCAACCCCUGAUUGUGUAUUUGGGGUAUGUGGAUGCAUCAAAUCUAAGGUAAGAGAAGCCCUUUUCCUUAAUUAAACAACGUUUAAAUUGGUUGCUUCUUGGGAUUUCCUACUGAAUUAAUUCUUAUGCUGUAAAAGGGAUUUUUCAGCUCCUCGGGUUGAAUGAGAGCUGCCUCUGAGAUGCUUUCUGUCAGAAAAAAUUACCCAAAUGUACACAGGGAGGCUCAGGAGGAAAUAAGCUGGGAAAGAAAAACAUCCUAGGAAAAGGGAUUCAGCAGCAGCAGCAGCAAACCAGAGGUGGCCUAGGAACCCACAAAGUCCAGCUGAAAAUCACUGUGGGGUUUCUGGGACACUGGUAAGGGCCUCACAGAUGUGUUCAGAGUGGUUCUGUCCCAUGCUGGGGACGUGUAGAUCUAAGCACACAAAGAUGCCCGUGCCAACAGGGUGAUGGAGGAAGGUUUGGGUCUGGAAACAGGAGACAAAGGAGAAAGCAGGCAGGUGGGGAGAUGCUCAGCCAAGAAAGAUGAGAGAAGGGAUUCAUAAUAAGGUGCAGUAAGAAACGUGUUGGAUUUCAGACAACGACACAUGCUGUCAAUAAACCUGUGCGUUUUAGAAAGAAAAGGAAUGAAAAAAAUCAUUUUGAAGACCCUAAAAAAGAAUAAAUCUUUUGUAGCAAAGCUGUAUUUAAUUUGGUUAUAAUCCACUGAAUUGAGAUAUAUUUCAGCUUGACUGAAGACUCCUAAGCACGGCUCAUAGGAAACCAGAUCACUUCUGGCAGAGGGAAGAAAAACUGUCUGUUAGAACUAAGUUCUCUCAGCUGGCGUGUUUAUCGCCAGAGAUCAAUGAAAACCAGAGGAUAAAUAAAAGCAGAUUUUGAAAAUGAACCGAUAGACAUUCAGGCACCAAAAAGCAUUUCUUUUUCUGUGUGUCUUACUUUUCUUCACUGGAGAAAAUCAGAUUGAAAUGUGUUUUAUUGACAAGGACGUAUCUUAUUUGCACAUUUGCAAGACCUAUAAACAAGUGGCCCAGUGUCAUGUAGGUCCCAGAUUUGCUGCCCUUUCAGACCUAUUAGUUUGUGGAGACUUGGAUGUGGUGUGUCUUUCAAGGUGGGACACAGUGUUCUGCUUUAACAGGAAGCAUAUGGCCCAGCUUUAACCACAUAGGUGGUUACUUAGAUGGGAAUAAAAUUACCAAGCAGCAUGCUGAUGAUUUUAUAAAAGCUUAACUGUAUUUCCCCAGGGUGCCUUGAUAUUUCUAAGGGAAAGAGAGAGUAAACAGUAUGUUUGUAUUUAAUAACAGAGAUACAGGGGUGAGAGCAUCUUACAUAGGCAUAGCUAUAUUUCUCCCAGAAUCUUAUGCAAUGUAGAAGCAUUUGUGAUUAAUGUCCUUGCACACAUCUUGUGUGCCUUUCUUUGCUUUAGAUUCAAAUGUACUGGAAGAGUUGAGCUUCUAUUCAGUGUCUGCCCCACCUGACCUCUCUCCUCUGUGCUCUUUGCCCUCUAUUAAACAACACAGCAUUUUGUUUCCAUCCCCUGCAAUAUUAUUGCCAUAUGUUGUCUGUCUUCCAUGUCUCCAACUGCUCCCACUUGGCCUUCCUCCCUGAAUUUGAUUCUGGGCUCCCUUUUCCCUUCUUUCUGCCUUUUUCUGUGCCCAUGCUCUGAGUAACACCAUCCCUGUCCCCACCAAAAUGGACAGCCCCUUGAGGUGAUCUUCCUAUGACCCUGCACUGUCUCUGCUUUUUGAGGAAAGCUAAGGAAAUUAACAACACCAGGUUUUCUCUGACACUGCUUUUCCUGCUUUAAUGGAGUUUAUUGAAGGCGUGCACAAGGCUUUUAUUAACUGGUUUCACUAGCUACCUUAAAGAACCCUGCUUUUUUAUGAUGCUGAUAAAAGAAAAGAAAGGGACUAAGCCACCAGGGUGCUGAGACCAGGACAUUGUACACAGAUCAUUAUGAUUUCUUUGGUUCCAUAUAUUUGCCCAUUUAUUGUCCACUCCAUCUGGCCUUAUAUCUGUGCUGUGAACUCUCCAUCCUUUUGUUCUGCAUUUGUGCUGAGUACAAGGGGAUCCACACCCUUGAUUAAGAUGCCAAAGACUUACCAUAACAAAAUAUUUAAGAAGAGUAGUUGAAAUGUAUCUGUUACCAAUAGUUGCUAUGGCUGGAGUAAGACUUUAAUGUAGAAUUCAAACAGGUCUGUAAAUUUUAUUUACAGACUGUUCCUGUGCUUUUUGUAUAUAAACAUGUGCUUUACAGUGAAUUGUUUAUAAUCUAAGUAGCUUUGAAUCUGUAUUUCCUUUAGAGAAACAGCAAAGCAAGAAAAAAUAUGACCAAUAUGGAAAGGUGGAAAGGUGUUUUUGUCAUAUUGACAUUUUGUCACUGUAUUUGAACUAAA